GACGAACGCUGGCGGCGUGCCUAAUACAUGCAAGUCGAGCGCUUCUUUCCUCCCGAGUGCUUGCACUCAAUUGGAAAGAGGAGUGGCGGACGGGUGAGUAACACGUGGGUAACCUACCCAUUAGAGGGGGAUAACACUUGGAAACAGGUGCUAAUACCGCAUAACAGUUUAUGCCGCAUGGCAUAAGAGUGAAAGGCGCUUUCGGGUGUCGCUGAUGGCUGGACCCGCGGUGCAUUAGCUAGUUGGUGAGGUAACGGCUCACCAAGGCCACGAUGCAUAGCCGACCUGAGAGGGUGAUCGGCCACACUGGGACUGAGACACGGCCCAGACUCCUACGGGAGGCAGCAGUAGGGAAUCUUCGGCAAUGGACGAAAGUCUGACCGAGCAACGCCGCGUGAGUGAAGAAGGUUUUCGGAUCGUAAAACUCUGUUGUUAGAGAAGAACAAGGACGUUAGUAACUGAACGUCUCCUGACGGUAUCUAACCAGAAAGCCACGACUAACUACGUG
Molecule: ribosomal RNA, 508 nt
Filed under: uncultured bacterium
Lineage: Bacteria
Description: partial 16S ribosomal RNA
Rfam family: Bacterial small subunit ribosomal RNA
Source: RNAcentral